RNAcentral lists this ribosomal RNA (433 nucleotides) under uncultured bacterium. RNAcentral's name for it is "partial 16S ribosomal RNA". It matches the Rfam family "Bacterial small subunit ribosomal RNA", at positions 29 to 507 of the family's 1533-position model. The record is from RNAcentral.
AACGAACGCUGGCGGCAGGCCUAACACAUGCAAGUCGAGCGGACCCUUCGGGGUUAGCGGCGGACGGGUGAGUAACGCGUGGGAAUAUGCCCUUCUCUACGGAAUAGUCCUGGGAAACUGGGGGUAAUACCGUAUACGCCCUUUGGGGGAAAGAUUUAUCGGGGAAGGAUUAGCCCGCGUUGGAUUAGGUAGUUGGUGUGGUAAUGGCCUACCAAGCCGACGAUCCAUAGCUGGUUUGAGAGGAUGAUCAGCCACACUGGGACUGAGACACGGCCCAGACUCCUACGGGAGGCAGCAGUGGGGAAUCUUAGACAAUGGGGGCAACCCUGAUCUAGCCAUGCCGCGUGAGUGAUGAAGGCCUUAGGGUUGUAAAGCUCUUUCAGCUGGGAAGAUAAUGACGGUACCAGCAGAAGAAGCCCCGGCUAACUCCGUG